Molecule: ribosomal RNA, 433 nt
Filed under: uncultured bacterium
Lineage: Bacteria
Description: partial 16S ribosomal RNA
Rfam family: Bacterial small subunit ribosomal RNA
Source: RNAcentral
AACGAACGCUGGCGGCAGGCCUAACACAUGCAAGUCGAGCGAGAUCUUCGGGUCUAGCGGCGGACGGGUGAGUAACGCGUGGGAAUAUGCCCUUCUCUGCGGGAUAGCCUCGGGAAACUGAGCGUAAUACCGCAUACGCCCUUUGGGGGAAAGAUUUAUCGGAGAAGGAUUAGCCCGCGUUGGAUUAGGUAGUUGGUGGGGUAACGGCCUACCAAGCCGACGAUCCAUAGCUGGUUUGAGAGGAUGAUCAGCCACACUGGGACUGAGACACGGCCCAGACUCCUACGGGAGGCAGCAGUGGGGAAUCUUAGACAAUGGGGGCAACCCUGAUCUAGCCAUGCCGCGUGAGUGAUGAAGGCCUUAGGGUUGUAAAGCUCUUUCAGCUGGGAAGAUAAUGACGGUACCAGCAGAAGAAGCCCCGGCUAACUCCGUG